Molecule: ribosomal RNA, 250 nt
Filed under: uncultured bacterium
Lineage: Bacteria
Description: partial 16S ribosomal RNA
Rfam family: Bacterial small subunit ribosomal RNA
Source: RNAcentral
UACGUAGGUGGCGAGCGUUAUCCGGAAUUAUUGGGCGUAAAGGGUGCGUAGGCGGCACAUUAAGUCUAAGGUUAAAGUUCGAGGCUCAACUUCGGAUUGCCUUAGAAACUGGUGAGCUAGAGUGCAGGAGAGGGCAAUGGAAUUCCAUGUGUAGCGGUAAAAUGCGUAGAUAUAUGGAGGAACACCAGUGGCGAAGGCGGUUGCCUGGCCUGUAACUGACGCUGAGGCACGAAAGCGUCAGUUACAGGCC